CCUACGGGAGGCAGCAGUGAGGAAUAUUGGUCAAUGGACGAGAGUCUGAACCAGCCAAGUAGCGUGAAGGAUGACUGCCCUAUGGGUUGUAAACUUCUUUUAUAUGGGAAUAAAAUGUUCCACGUGUGGGAUUUUGUAUGUACCAUAUAAAUAAGGAUCGGCUAACUCCGUGCCAGCAGCCGCGGUAAUACGGAGGAUCCGAGCGUUAUCCGGAUUUAUUGGGUUUAAAGGGCGCGUAGGUGGAUUGUUAAGUCAGUUGUGAAAGUUUGCGGCUCAACCGUAAAAUUGCAGUUGAAACUGGCAGUCUUGAGUACAGUAGAGGUGGGCGGAAUGCGUGGUGUAGCGGUGAAAUGCUUAGAUAUCACGAAGAACUCCGAUUGCGAAGGCAGUUCACUGGACUGCAACUGACACUGAGGCUCGAAAGUGUGGGUAUCAAACAGGAUUAGAUACCCCUGUAGUC
Molecule: ribosomal RNA, 460 nt
Filed under: uncultured bacterium
Lineage: Bacteria
Description: partial 16S ribosomal RNA
Rfam family: Bacterial small subunit ribosomal RNA
Source: RNAcentral